AAGGAUCAUUAUUGAAUACUCUUGAUGGGUUGUAGCUGGCUCUUCGGGGCAUGUGCACACUUGUCUUGACUUUAUUCAUCCACCUGUGCACCUUUUGUAGUCUUGUGGGUUGAGAGCAGUCGACUAUCGGAUGGCUAUGGCCUUUCCGGACGUGAGGAAUGCUGAGUGCGAAAGCAUACAGCUCUUCUCAAAUGACUUGCAAAACCUCUCCCUCAAGUACUAUGUAUUCAUAUACCACAUAGUAUGUUGUCGAAUGUGAUCAAUGGGCCUAUGUGCCUAUAAAAAUCAUAUACAACUUUCAGCAACGGAUCUCUUGGCUCUC
RNAcentral lists this unclassified non-coding RNA (322 nucleotides) under uncultured fungus. RNAcentral's name for it is "partial contains 18S rRNA, ITS1, 5.8S rRNA, ITS2 and 28S rRNA". Lineage: Eukaryota; Fungi. The record is from RNAcentral.